Molecule: transfer RNA, 80 nt
Filed under: Moelleriella libera RCEF 2490
Lineage: Eukaryota; Fungi; Ascomycota; Sordariomycetes; Hypocreales; Clavicipitaceae
Description: Aschersonia aleyrodis RCEF 2490 tRNA
Rfam family: tRNA
About the family: Transfer RNA (tRNA) molecules are approximately 80 nucleotides in length. Their secondary structure includes four short double-helical elements and three loops (D, anti-codon, and T loops).
Source: Rfam by way of RNAcentral
GGCCGUGUGGCUCAAUGGCAGAGCGUCUGACUACGAUGUGUGUGAUCAGAAGGUCGCAGGUUCGACCCCUGUCUCGGUCA